UGCUCACAGUCACCAUCUGAGGAAUGACGGGGGCAAAGGUAGGGUGCUGAGGCCGUCUGGCUUUGUCCUUCCUCAGCAGGGAGCCUCUUCCAGGAAUCUCCCCCUCCCCCGGGCUGGGCCUGCUGGUGAUACCGCGUAUACCUGCAUAGCUGUCCACACGGACACCUGCAGCUUGUCCUUCUGCACAGUGGACGCUGGCCUGAGCUCCAGGCCUGGGCAUCACUGUUUGUCCCAAGGCUGGGGACGCUGCAAUUGGAGCAGGUCUCACAGGUGAGGUCACUGCUUGCCUCGGGUCUGCCAGCUCCUAAGGAGGCAUCCUCCAACACCUUGUUUGCCCUCCCAGCCCUGGCAGAGGCGGUUCUGUGCACAGCCUGUGAAGAAGACAGCUACCAAUCGGCACUCCCCGGCACCCUGGGAGGCUGCUGGCCUGCACCUGGUGGACAGGGGUCUUCCUCGACUCCCCCCACCCCCAAGGAGCUCCUGCCCAUUUGAGAAGACCAACCCAGCCUGCUGAGUCCAGGGGAGGGGCAGAGCUGGGAGAGAACUGUGCCGAGAUUUAUGGGCAAUAAAGGAACAUCCAUCUCAGGGCGGGAAGAGGAGCGGCAGCCGGGCAGCCCCCUCCUCACACCAGAGCACUCCAGUUGCAUUAAUGAUGCCGCCAAGGCUUUGCAGAGCUGCUGACAAAGGAGAGAAGAAAACAUGGACAAUUAGAGAAGGAUGAAGACCUCGCAGGGCGAACUCUGCACGCAGCUGCCAGCCAGGCCACCCUGUGGGGGUCCGGGGACACCGAACCGAGCCAGCGAUCUGGGGCCCGGGCCCGGGGCAAGGCCCGGCUACUGUCUGAUGGUGGCCUCACAAUUAUUUUUGAAAAAUGAUGGAGGAGGGAGGGGAGGGGAGGGCAGAGAUAAGAGGGCGGAACUUGUGCCCCGGCCGAGCUGUGGGUUUCUGGGCGGCCGUUGGCACACUGCUAGGCAGAGGGCGUAAGAGGUUUGGGCCGCAGGGGCUCAGGGACUCUGCUUAGGUGCCCUCCCUGGGGCUGCGGCUUCAUCUUGAGGCUUCCUGGCCAGCCCUCCCCGGCUCCCAUGCCGUCCUCUCUGCCCAUCUUGCUGCUGUUACCUGUCAGCCUGGUUACGGCUGCACCCUCCCUCUGCUUCCUCUAACUAGCGUGUAAGCUUGUGGUCUGUCCGUCUGUCCACCUGCCGUCUGUUCCAUUGACUAGCCCUUCCCUGUUUCUCCCUCAAAGGCUCUGCUCCCACAGAGUGGCCUUGGCCUUCAUGCCACCUCAUCCCCAGCCAGUACCUUCCAGGACCCUGUCUUUCCCAGUUCCACACAAGAAACCCUCCAGCCUGUGGAGGGACAAGUUGGCCAUAAGUCCCCGACCACAGCGGGGACUCCAGCUGGGGAGUUGAACUCUGGUCCCUCCGCCACCCUCCAGAAAGCCUAUAAGGGUGGCUCCUUGGGCCCCUCUUGACCCCACUGCUGGGUUGGCAUCUGAAUGAGGUCCAUGGAUGGUGCCGCUCCCCCUGCCCGGUGAGUCAGGGCAGCUGCACUUGGGGGGUGGACGAGAGAAGAAGUUGCCCACAGCCCACUCCCCGAACUCAGGCCAGCAGCUGACUGCGGCUUCAGCACCUCUGUGGGGUUACUCUGUACAGGCUAAUCUCAGGGAGCAAACACCUUCAAUUCAGCACUACCCAGAGGAGUGGGCCACGCCUAGUGUACCUGCCACUUACCACUGAGGCAGCCUGGCACCUCGGCCAGCUCGGAGGAGUCAAUGCAAAUACCACCCGGAGUCACCAUCCUGCUCCACCAAGUACAGGUACAGCACCCCGCCCCCAUCCCGCAGAAGGACAGAAACACAGCUGGCUCAGAGGCCACAGGGACAGACAGACAACUGUGAGGGGAAGCAGACUAGCAAAGCUCCUUCCCUGGAGUUGCUGCACUUAGCAGACACAGACCCCCAUCCUCCCCCCAGGCUGGUAAAGUGAGGGCUGCCCUACUCCAGUCUCGGUUCUGUGAGAACUGAACCUGAAGGCAAGGCUCACCGGGCCAGGGUGCUGGGACCGGGUAGUCUUCAUGUCCAGGCCAGCACUGGAUCAGGCAGAGAGCACCUUCUGCGUUCUAGGGAGCAAAUGGUGAGCCAUUCACUCUCAGCCCCAUGGGCCUUUGGUGAGGGAAACGGCGCAAGGCCUGCCCGUAAAGCAGGUCGAAAGGCAGGAUCCUGCGUGCUCAUGGCUCAGGGUCUGGGGUCCCGGAUUUCUCUGUCCAGGAACUGUGCCAGACUGCCAAGAAGCUGUGCCAGCCAUCACAGCACAGCUAUGAUGUGCUUCCUGCCUCCCACCGGCCCUGGCUCACCAUAUAUGAAGCAGGAGUGGUUCAGAGAUGCAGGACUUGCCUUACAAAGCCAAUGGAAGCAGUGAUACUAAUGAGGACGUCUCGCGGGGGCUGGGGACAGGGCUGCGUCAACUCUGGGGGAGAGGACAACCUGAGGCUGGCCAGUAUGAAGAGGAGUGACGGGACACGGGCCCAGAGACCCUGACCCUGGCACCCUGGUCCCUGGCACCGCCCUGCUGACCAUGAGAGUGAACGGAGCUUUGUGAGGCCCAAACAGGAAACGGGGCCACGGCCCCACUUGUCAGUUCCACAGCUUUGGGUGGACAAAGCCAGGGUGGGGGUGCCUAGAACCACCUGGAAGGUUCCACCCAUCCUUACCAGUGCCAUCUUGUCUUCCAUGUCCUCCUGCUUGGCUGUCCCCCACUACAGGGACCCCAAGCAUUGCUGGACUUCACCCCGAGGAAAGGGGCUCAGCCCCGCAAUCCCUCACCUCCUCAGGGCGGCCCAGGCUCCAGACCCAGCUACGGACUCCGGGACUGGCAGGAGCUGAGCUUACUUCUGGAGUGAGGUGGCCCAGGGGUGAUGUGUAGAGAAAGGGGGUGACAUUAGGAAUGGGCCCCAUUCACCGGCAGACCCUGCAACGGGGCAUGCGUGGGAGCGCAGACCCGCCCUCCCGAAGCCUGGGACGGGGUCUCCUCUGUGUGGGGCUGCCCGCUGUGAGGACCUCCUUGGUAGACGCCCACAACCCAGGAAGUCUCCUUUCGCUGGCCUCGGGUCCCACCCACCCUCUUCCUUCCGUUUCAGCUUGUGUGUGUCUCAGGGUCAGCAGCACCUAGCAGAAUGUCCUGCCUGUGCUUCCUCCUGGAGCCCAGGCUGGAGGCUGUGACCACCCGUCCGCUGAGGCAGGAAGCCCCGGCACCCAGGACAGCACCAGGCUCUUCUUACCCACAGACCUGACCCCUGACUGGCAGCAGCGGAAGCCUCCGUCCCUCAGACCCUGCUGCCCAUAGGUGCUCCUAACUCUGGCCCUGCUCUGCUCACCCCCACUGCCUCUUCUGCAGUUGGCUUCAGUCUAGACAGGCCCAGGCGUGCACCCAAUGGUUAGACCUUCCCGUGGGCCUCAGGAGCCGCCCGUGGAAUUUGCCACGUCCUCCAGGAGCCCGCUCCCCGGCCGCUGACUGUGUGCUAACACCGUGGGGACACGGGGCCCAGGCCAGACCUUAAUCCACAGGGAAGAGGAGUCCACGGGGUCCGAGGGUCUGGCCUGGUGGUUGAGACCCCGCAGCCUGCUUCCUGGGACCCAUGCCAGAUCCUCAGACCCUAGGGACGAGCUCCAGCAGGGAAAGGUGGGUUCUGGGGUCAGGCAAUGACUGAGCAGUCCCGCCCCCCCGGAUCCACUUCACUAUCAUACGUCUCCCGAUAGUUCUAGAGACCUGAAUUGGCAGAAGAGAAGAUUAGUCCCUGAGAGAGAUCUGCCUUGAAGUCUCCUUUCCAGGCCCCAAGCUGCAGGCUAUAUAGAUCCCUCCUCGGCACUAUUGGCCCGAAAAGAGAGUGAAAUGCACCUGUAAUUGGGGUUUGUGAGUUGAGGAACUCCCUGGUCUUGCCUGGGACGUCACAUACAGCACCCAACCCCAAAUCUCUAUGUGGUGAACUUGUGCCUUAGACCCACAUGGUUGCCUGGACUAUGGCAGAGCCUUCAUGAUCUGCCUGCAGGGGUCCUCACCUCCACCCCCAUGUACUUCUCCUCAGAACCCGAGGUGGGCCAGAGUGCACACUUUGGGUGUCUCUGAUGUUGCUGGGGGCAAGCUGAGUUCUGCAUCCAGCAUGCCUGCAGGUGGACUUCCUGGGCCACCUCUCUUGGUCACCACUGUGCACUGCUGUGAACCCCAAGCUGUGCGUAACCUUCCCGGACCCAAGAAUUCCCUGUGUCAUAGGCCCAGUGCGCCCUGCCCCCACAGCUACCCUCCUAAUUGGGCAUUCUCCCUGACAGAGUGCCACGCGGCUGUCUUGUUCUCAUUCUCAUUCUGUUGACGUUGGCACAAUCCACUCUUUGAAUCCUAGCGGUUAUAGAGAAGCUGGAGCAGCUGAAAUAGCUCCCAGCCCCUGGGGGCCCUCCAGUAGGUACAGUAAGGAUUGCUCCUGGGCAGAUGGGGAUGGCAGAUGGAUAUGGCCACACUAGCUCAGGCCAAGGCUUGGCCAGGCCCUGAAGUUCAGCUAGUCAGCAUGGGACUAAGCCAGUGUGUGUUGUCAGCGGACUGGGCCAGUCCGGGUGGCGGGAUCAGGAGGGCCCAGAUAACCUACCUUCGGAAGCUGCAGGACUCCACAGGGUUUCCUGACCCAGAACUAUCUCCUCUCAGCUUCACCCACCUGGUCCACACAGUCUGGUUCCUUGUUAACAUGAGUCCAGGCCGCUAAGCCAGUGCCCUGGGUGGCUUCUAUGCUGGUUACCAUUGGAACACAGGCUUCAGACAAACUGAGCAGUACUCGGAGAGACUGUCAAGGCCAAGAGGAGAGGCGUAGCCCAGAUAGACAGGUACAUCUGGCUGGCCAUCUGCUGCUGCCAUUCUUGAUGGUCAUGUUCCCUCUUUGAGACUUAGUUCUUAUCCUUUUAACAUGAGGUAAUAGUGACAACCUCAGUGAAACCAGCAAGGACGGAGGCUCCAGGCUGAGAAACUCCUGUACUUGCUUAGGCCCUAAGACCCUGUCUCCACAGUGCCAGGAGACUGGGCUCUAGUCACAGUCUAGAAAGGCCAGGACCAGGGCCAGGCACAUGCUAUGUUUGGGCAAUUCUAGCACCAGCCUCCUGUUGCCAAGUUUCCCAUCUCUUGGGGCUGAGAUGUCAACAGGUUUUAAAGAUUAUUUGUGUGUGUGUGUGUGUGUGUGUGUGUGUGUGUGUGUGUGUGUGUAUCUCUGUAUGUGUACACAUAAAUAUAGGUAGCCAAGGAUGCCAGAAGUUAAAGGUAGUUCUAAACCUGUGAUGUGGAUGCUGGGACCUGAACUCAUGCUCCCUGGGAGAGCAGUACACAAAUCAGUAAAAACCAUCUAACCAUCCCGAUUUCAACACACUUGAUAUAUUUUGGGGUUCCCCCAGCAUGUGCCCCCUGGCCAAGCCUAAUUAUUACCUAGACCCCUACAUAUAUGACUUCCUUCUGUUACCAAGCAGCCUGUCCUAAACCCAGCCUGGACUCCAUCAACCCAGGACCCUCACCCAAGCAUAGCUCCUGCCUGGGGUCCCUACGAUGGGUCCCAGUCCCUAGGACCCCAGCUUCCUUCAUGAGUACCCAGCUGCUUGAGAAGGCAUUCCUCCGACAUGCUAGUUCCAGAAAGCAACCUUGUGCUAGAAUUUGUUGUCCUCCAGAUGCUGCUGGCCUUUACCUCUGAGUCCAUAAAGAUGGUUAAAAAGAUGGACCCCGCUCUGCAACCUCCCAUCCUCAGGGACAUAGGUCAGUUUCGUCCCCAUUGUGCUCUGAUGAGGAAACCACCCCAAGGCUUGGGAGAUCCAGCAGCCUUGGCCCUCGUCUCUGGCAGUAUCCAGCCUGACCUUGGGGUCCCUGUUAUCAGGAUGCUCCGGCAGCAGCAUCUCUGCAGCCCCAGCUCAAAGCUUUUCUACCGCGUGAUGAUUGCCACCGCUUACAUUAGAAUUAGAAGCUGCUGCUGAGACAGGCAAACCCCGCCUACUGGACAGCACCUAAGCUGUAGAUUUCAGAGGAGUGCAGGCCUAGCCUGGAGAAGUGGCCACAUCCAGUCAGACUCUGGAAGUGGGCAGUGACCUCAUGCUGGCCCACAGCACAGCGAGAAAGUUCAGAAACAAGGCUCCUGUCCAAGAGUUGAGACCCCUGCUGGGAUUAGGGGAAAAAAUCAUCCAGAAAUAGUCAUCCUGGUGCUGGGCACCUUGUGGUGUGGCAGGAGGGGACCAGCCAUGGUCAUCAGAAGCAUUUACAGGGGAUCUGGGGCUUGUAGAGGGGGCAGCUGUGCCACUGGGGACUCACAGAAGUCCAGCCAUCCUCUUCCUCACCCCUGUGGGUCUCCUGGGGAUAACACCUGUGCAGAUGGAGGAUGUCGGGCCAGGGACCCACAGCAGCCCUGCCUGGCAGACUCUACUUCUCCCAUCAAAGCAGGGACCUGAAUUCUUUUUACCAGAAAGUGGGGUCUUGAGGCAAUGAGUAGCUGAAGGCCCUGCUUCUGUCCUUCCAACCUCCAGGCUCAGGCCCCAGGACCUUUCAUAAGGCAUCAUAAUAGCCCGGUCAGGACUUCUAGAUCAGUGGUUCUCAACCUCCCUAAUGCCACGACCCUUUAACACAGUUCCUCAUGUGGUGACCCAACCACAAAAUUAUCUCCAUCGCUACUUCAUAACUGUAAUUUUGCUACCGUUAUGAAUCGUGCUGUAAAUGUCUGUGUUUUCCGAUGCUCUUGGGCAACCCCUGUGAAGAGACCAUUUGACCUCUGGUUCAGAACCGCUGUUCUGGGUGGUAUGGUGGCUGGGAGGGUUCUCAGUGGUGGGAGUUGGCAGAGAAUCUCUGGCAAGUCCCUCGGAUGCCACAGUGUGUGUGGAGUCAGAGGACACUUGCAGUGGCUGGUUCUCUUUUGCCAUCACGCCGGUCCCGGGGACCAAACCCGGGUCGCCAGGCUUUUCAACAGCGCUGCUGGCAGCGGAUCCGUCUCGCAGGCCCCAGCGCCGUUGUUUCAGAUGGAGCGAGUGCUUACCGUGUGUGCAUUCGGUCGAGGGAGACUUUGUACUGCCUUCUCCGGACAGGGCUGAGCUGGGGAGGGUCAGGGCGUCCAAACACUGGCCCCCUUGGCAUCCCCAGCACCCCUCCUGGUCUUUGUCUAGCUAGUUCCUCCCUGUCCUUUCUACCUGCUCCCUGAGUCCGUCCCCACACGGCCUCUUCAACCUCCUCUGCCUCCACACCCAGUUCCUCCCUGGUGGACCUUACGCUGCCCGCUCACCCCGCUGCAACCUCACACCUUGCAAACCACUGCUCUCUCCCAGAGUGCCAGUGACGGGCCAAAGGGACACAGAUGUGGCUGGGGGGGACUGUGGUCCUGCCUCAGCAGCCUGCUCUGCCUGCCCUACACUGGCUCAAGACCGCCCUUCCUCACUGGCAACCAAAGGCUGGCUGCAUCCAUCACCCAAGAGGCAGCUCCCCCACGCUGACUGUAAACAGCUAGUAGCUUCGUGAAGAGGAAAAUAAAUUGUUUUAACAGCA
This is a non-coding RNA of Peromyscus maniculatus bairdii (prairie deer mouse), 7538 nucleotides long. The record is from RefSeq and is a predicted model, not a curated record. NCBI's taxonomy places the organism in Eukaryota, Metazoa, Chordata, Mammalia, Rodentia, Cricetidae.